This 1110-nucleotide ribosomal RNA is filed under the name Triticum aestivum (bread wheat). RNAcentral's name for it is "partial small subunit ribosomal RNA". Lineage: Eukaryota; Viridiplantae; Streptophyta; Magnoliopsida; Poales; Poaceae. The record is from RNAcentral.
AUGUCCUCGCCUAGCAAGACUUUGAUGGGAGGGAAGAAAGCAAAGGUGGUGGAGGGGAAUGCUCGGCUGCUCUGCAGUGAUGCGCUCACCGAGGUCUUCCACAAGCUGCCUGCCCGCACGCUCGCUUCUUGCAGGAUGGUAUGCAAAUACUGGAUGUCAUUGCUUUCCGAUGUGCAUUUUCUUCACGAGCACCUGAACCGAAGCCAGCAGAAGUUGCUGCUCUUUGCAAAUGACAGAGCAAAUGAUAGGUCUCUUGCCAUGGUGCUCGCAGACGCCAAUGGAUACAUGUACCAGCUGUCUAGGCCCUUGGUUGCUCAGAGCCUGUUUGUGCACAACUCUUGCAACGGCCUGCUCUGCCUAGGUGACAGUAAAGGAGCAGUGGAGUUGCUCAACCCGACAACCGGUGAAUCUGUUGUGUUGCCGAAGCCAAUGUACACUGCAGGAAGCAGCCAAUUCUCAUCAUGCAACUGGCACUGCUUGGGGUUUUGCCCGUCAACUAAGCAACACAAAAUUGCGCACUUUUAUCCGGGAGCUCAUGCUGGUUCUCUCGAGGUGCUCUGCGAGAUAUACACAAUUGGAGAUAGAGACUGGAGACAAAUUGGGACUCUCCGUGGGGCACCAAUUGAUAGAGGUAUACAUGUGAAUGGUUCGGUGUAUUAUUUGACAAGGUUCCGUUAUAUCUCUUCAUCACGUAUCAAUUGUUUGAAUCUUCAAAGUGAAAAGUUUGAUGUCUUGAUGCUUCCUCCACGCAAGACCUAUGGAGGGCACUGUUCUUUGUCCGAGCUCGAGGGAAAACUAUGUUUAUUAGUUGUGGAUGGUGCGCUUGAAGGUAUACCUCGUACAAUGGACAUAUUAAUGCUCGAUAACGAUGAUAAGCAGAGUUGGACUCAUAGAUACCACAUAUCUUUGCCUCCGUUGAUGCAAUCAUGUUAUUUCACUCCAAGACACACACUUUUUCAUGAUUCCAAAAUUUGGGUGCAGUUGUUUGCUCGGAACUUAUAUUGCUAUGAUCCAAAUUCAAACUCUGGGGAAUUGGAGAUUGCCUGUCCAGAAUCUGAGUUUCCUUUCAGCAUUCAUACGUUUGUUGAAAGUAUAGUUCCUCUGCGUUAA